AUCUAAAUAAUUUAAUUAAAAAUAUUGAUCUGUGGAGUCAAAAUUGUGAAAAUUUCACUUUAGAUC
RNAcentral lists this transfer RNA (66 nucleotides) under Nannochorista philpotti. RNAcentral describes it as "tRNA-His". The record is from RNAcentral. Lineage: Eukaryota; Metazoa; Arthropoda; Insecta; Mecoptera; Nannochoristidae.